This 468-nucleotide ribosomal RNA is filed under the name uncultured bacterium. Its description in RNAcentral is "partial 16S ribosomal RNA". It matches the Rfam family "Bacterial small subunit ribosomal RNA", at positions 28 to 507 of the family's 1533-position model. The record is from RNAcentral.
GACGAACGCUGGCGGCGUGCUUAACACAUGCAAGUCGAACGGAAAGGCCCUGCUCUUGUGGGGUGCUCGAGUGGCGAACGGGUGAGUAACACGUGAGUAACCUGCCCUUGACUUUGGGAUAACUUCAGGAAACUGGGGCUAAUAUCGGAUAGGAGCUCUUGAUGCAUGGUGGGGGUUGGAAAGUUUCGGCGGUUGGGGAUGGACUCGCGGCUUAUCAGCUUGUUGGUGGGGUAGUGGCUUACCAAGGCUUUGACGGGUAGCCGGCCUGAGAGGGUGACCGGCCACAUUGGGACUGAGGUACGGCCCAGACUCCUACGGGAGGCAGCAGUGGGGAAUAUUGCACAAUGGGCGGAAGCCUGAUGCAGCAACGCCGCGUGCGGGAUGACGGCCUUCGGGUUGUAAACCGCUUUCGCCGGUGACGAAGCGUGAGUGACGGUAAUGGGUAAAGAAGCACCGGCUAACUACGUG